UACGGAGGGGGCUAGCGUUGUUCGGAUUUACUGGGCGUAAAGGGAGCGUAGGUGGUUAGGUAAGCCCUCCGGGAAAUCUUCAGGCUUAACCUGAAAAGGUCGGGGGGGACUGCCUAGCUAGAGGGCGGGAGAGGAGCGCGGAAUUCCCGGUGUAGCGGUGAAAUGCGUAGAGAUCGGGAGGAAGGCCGGUGGCGAAGGCGGCGCUCUGGAACGUUUCUGACACUGAGGCUCGAAAGCGUGGGGAGCAAACAGG
This 253-nucleotide ribosomal RNA is filed under the name uncultured bacterium. RNAcentral's name for it is "partial 16S ribosomal RNA". It matches the Rfam family "Bacterial small subunit ribosomal RNA", at positions 524 to 776 of the family's 1533-position model. The record is from RNAcentral.